AUUUUUAAUUCUGAAAGUUAUGUGUACGUGGUAGUUUUGAAAAGUAUUACGAUGCUGCAAAGAAGAUGUCAGUAAACAACUUGUGGUAAAUAACCCCCACCUUAGGGUCGGGUAACAUUUGGGAGUGCUACGACAUUGAAGGAGGAUCUAUUUGGGAGGGAUGGCAAAAAUACUGCUCCGUCACCUCAGAAUCUUAUAGUACAAGAGACUGACCAGUUCUCCUCCCUGGCCGUGCCAAGAGGGUGAAAAUAUGCAAAGUGGGAAUUUUAUUCAGAAUUGAGACAAUGGAGGUUUCAAAAGUCCAAACUGAGAGCUUUUUUGAGACUGUUGUACGUGUGGUAAAGAAGUACUUACAUCUUUUUACAACUCGCAAAAAGUGCAAAGCACUCUAGGCGUGUGGGCCAAGCCCUAUAUUUAAAUGCAGCUACAGAUCUGGGAACCAAUUAGGCACCUGACAGCCCACUGGAAAUCAGGUGGCAGAUGUUCUGCAAAGUUCAGCAAUAAAGAAUGUUGUAGAAUUAUA
RNA transcript from Lingula anatina, 523 nucleotides. RefSeq lists it as uncharacterized. NCBI's taxonomy places the organism in Eukaryota, Metazoa, Brachiopoda, Lingulata, Lingulida, Lingulidae. The record is from RefSeq and is a predicted model, not a curated record.